RNAcentral lists this ribosomal RNA (497 nucleotides) under uncultured bacterium. RNAcentral describes it as "partial 16S ribosomal RNA". It matches the Rfam family "Bacterial small subunit ribosomal RNA", at positions 28 to 507 of the family's 1533-position model. The record is from RNAcentral.
GACGAACGCUGGCGGCGUGCCUAAUACAUGCAAGUUGAGCGAUGAAGAUUGGUGCUUGCACCAAUUUGAAGAGCAGCGAACGGGUGAGUAACGCGUGGGGAAUCUGCCUUUGAGCGGGGGACAACAUUUGGAAACGAAUGCUAAUACCGCAUAAUAACUUUAAACAUAAAUUUUAAGUUUGAAAGAUGCAAUUGCAUCACUCAAAGAUGAUCCCGCGUUGUAUUAGCUAGUUGGUGAGGUAAAGGCUCACCAAGGCGAUGAUACAUAGCCGACCUGAGAGGGUGAUCGGCCACAUUGGGACUGAGACACGGCCCAAACUCCUACGGGAGGCAGCAGUAGGGAAUCUUCGGCAAUGGACGAAAGUCUGACCGAGCAACGCCGCGUGAGUGAAGAAGGUUUUCGGAUCGUAAAACUCUGUUGGUAGAGAAGAACGUUGGUGAGAGUGGAAAGCUCAUCAAGUGACGGUAACUACCCAGAAAGGGACGGCUAACUACGUG